This 254-nucleotide ribosomal RNA is filed under the name uncultured bacterium. Its description in RNAcentral is "partial 16S ribosomal RNA". It matches the Rfam family "Bacterial small subunit ribosomal RNA", at positions 524 to 777 of the family's 1533-position model. The record is from RNAcentral.
UACGUAGGGGGCGAGCGUUGUCCGGAUUUAUUGGGCGUAAAGAGCGUGUAGGCGGUUCGGUAAGUCUGUCGUGAAAUCCUGAGGCUCAACCUUGGACGUGCGAUGGAUACUGCCGGGCUAGAGGAUGGUAGAGGCAGAUGGAAUUCCGGGUGUAGCGGUGGAAUGCGUAGAGAUCCGGAAGAACACCAGUGGCGAAGGCGACUUUCUGGCCUAUAACUGACGCUGAGGCGCGAAAGCGUGGGGAGCAAACAGGG